This 429-nucleotide ribosomal RNA is filed under the name uncultured archaeon. RNAcentral's name for it is "bacterial SSU rRNA". It matches the Rfam family "Archaeal small subunit ribosomal RNA", at positions 474 to 903 of the family's 1478-position model. The record is from RNAcentral.
UACCAGCUCUCCGAGUGGCGUGGAUGUUUAUUGGGCCUAAAGCAUCCGUAGCUGGCUGGACAAGUCCCCUGUUAAAUCCACCGAUUUAAUCGUUGGUGUGCGGGGGAUACUGUUCGGCUAGGGGACGGGAGAGGCCGACGGUAUUUCCGGGGUAGGGGUGAAAUCCUAUAAUCCCGGGAAGACCACCAGUGGCGAAGGCUGUCUGCUAGAACGCGCCCGACGGUGAGGGAUGAAAGCUGGGGGAGCGAACCGGAUUAGAUACCCGGGUAGUCCCAGCUGUAAACGAUGCAGGCUAGGUGUUUGGGCGGCCACGUGCCGCUCUAGUGCCGCAGGGAAGCCGUUAAGCCUGCCGCCUGGGGAGUACGGCCGCAAGGCUGAAACUUAAAGGAAUUGGCGGGGGAGCACCACAAGGGGUGAAGCUUGCGGUUU